UACGAAGGGGGCUAGCGUUGCUCGGAAUCACUGGGCGUAAAGCGCACGUAGGCGGAUCUUUAAGUCAGGGGUGAAAUCCUGGAGCUCAACUCCAGAACUGCCUUUGAUACUGGGGAUCUCGAGUCCGGAAGAGGUGAGUGGAACUCCGAGUGUAGAGGUGAAAUUCGUAGAUAUUCGCAAGAACACCAGUGGCGAAGGCGGCUCACUGGCCCGAUACUGACGCUGAGGCACGAAAGCGUGGGGAGCGAACAGG
Molecule: ribosomal RNA, 253 nt
Filed under: uncultured bacterium
Lineage: Bacteria
Description: partial 16S ribosomal RNA
Rfam family: Bacterial small subunit ribosomal RNA
Source: RNAcentral